UGUAAUUGUAAGAGAAAUUGUAAGAGAGAAUAAUUCUUUCUCUUAACUCUCGCUCUCUCCCUUUAUUAUAGUAGUAUAUAUUAUUAUACUUAUACUAUUAUACAUACGUACAUACACAUACACAUAUAUAAUAUAAUAAUUUUAUAUUUUGUAUUAUGUUUUAUAACACGUUAUUAGCACAAUAUUUUUACUGCUGGAGCUUUCACGAGGUAAGUAAAUUUAUAUUGUUUCCAUAUAUGUUUAUAGAACAUAAAUAUUAUAGAGAUCGUGAAAUUAUGUUUUUUCCGGAUUGAUCGUCAUAAGUUGUAGGCGUUGCCUCCUUUACGAUCAAAUCAAUAGCUAAAUUAUAUUCGGAUAGAUCGUUAGAUAUAUGGUAGGCUCUGCCUCUUUCACGAUCAAAUAAAAACUAUGUCUUUCCAGAUAGAUAAAUCUUAUAUAUGGUAAGUUUUGCCUCAUUUUCGAUUAUACAUAAAGCUAUAUAAUUUUUGGAUGGAUCAUUUUAUAUAGUAAGCUUUGCCUCUUUCUAGAUCUAACAAAAGACUAUGUCUUUUUUGCAGAAAGAUCGUUAAAAAUGGCAGGCUAUGCCUCCUAUAUGAUCAAAUAUAAUUAAAGACUAUUUCAUUUUCUGGAUUGAUCGUUAUAAGUGGCUCUGCCUCCUUCACGAUCAAAUAAAAGCUAUGUCUUUUCUGGAUAGAUAGAUCGUUAUAUAUUGUAGGCUUUGCCUCCUUUACGAUCAUAUAUAAAGCUAUAUAAUAUUUGGAUUGAUCAUUUGAUAUGGUAGGCUUCGCCCCUCCGUCACGAUCUAACAAAAGGCUAUAUCCUUUCCGGAAAGAUCGGUUUUGCCUUCUAUACGAUCAAAUAUAAGGCUAUGUCAUUUCUGGACUGAUCGUUAUACAUGUAGAGGUUUUGCCUCAUUAAUGAUCAAAUAAAAGGCUUUGUCUUUUCUGGAUUGAUCAUUAUAUAUGAUAGGCUAUGUCUAAUCUACGAUCAAAGAAAAUUUAUGUCUAUUAAAUUCUUAUAUAUAAGGCUAUAACUCUUAUUUUAUUUUCUGCAUUUAUAUGUUUGUUUAUUUACUUCCGUUUAUUAGUAAAAAAUAAUUGUAUGUGUUACAUGAGAUUUAAAGACAAUGGAAUGUCUUUAAAAUAAAAACAUAUUUCUCUUACGAGAAUAUAUGAAGCACUUGUCAGUAUAUCAUAGACAGUGCAAACAUAAUUGAAAAGUCUAGAUGAGUUAGUCUCUCGACUUUCAAAGACAUCAGAUUCAUAAUUAUCGAUGUCUAGUGUUCUCCAGACACUCAUGGAGUUUCAAAGACAUUUUGUCUUAAUAAAAUUAUUAUGUUGAGACUAUAAAUAAAUAUGGUAUCGCAAGAUCGGCCAUAUUGGAGACACACAUGUAUAUGAUUAUAUCAUACAAAAAGAAAGAUGGCAAAAUAAUAGUAAAUAUGAAAUUCUUUUAUGCUUUAAGUAUAACAUUACCGGUCAAGCAAUCCCGGUCAAUCAAUGAUAUUCUUUUAUGCUUUAAGAGGAACAAAAAUUCUUUCAAAAGUAUUGCAUGUCCCAGUUCACAUUUCAUGAAGUUGUAAGCACUGCACUUCAUUCAUAUCUCAGAUAACAUCUAAUUUAUGUUGAAUUUAUUUAAGUUUAUUUUAAUUUAUUUAUUUUUUUAUUUAUUGUUUAUGGAGUUCAUGUAUAUAUACCUCCUCCUUAAUUUUGUAGUAGGCUAUGCCUCCAGAAUCAUAUAGUGUUGGCCCGUUCACCAUCCUUUUGGAUUAACAAGCUCAUUGUAUAUAUAUGAUGGUUUGAUUUCUUUAAUAAAUCCCCAAAUAAACCCCAAAUAUCACCGAUCUAAAAAUAAGAUUCGGUUAAAGGUGAAUGGAUGUAAAAGUCAUCAUCUUGAGAGGGGUCUCAUCUCACAUCUUAUAAGGAUCUAAGAUAAUAGACAUAACCAGAAUCGAUAUGUUGUUGAUCCUAGUGUGGGAUUCAGUACGAGAUGAAUGAACUCCAAGAGUUAUCAUCUCGAGCGGGAGAAUUAAAGGAAUCCCACAUCGACAAUAAGUCGAUAAAAUUUGGUGAAUUUGACACCCCAUAGCGAUAUAACUUUGGUGAAGUCAUAUCCUUUAGUUUAUCACAUAUAUAUGUCGCAUGUGAUAAAGUGGAACAUCCAUGAUGUUCACUCUUGAAAUGAGCUAUAGAAUCAUUCAUAGCGCAACCGCAAGAUAUUACAAAAUGGUUCCUGGUGAUAUAAUCUCCAUGUCAAAACAUGGAACAUGCAGUUUUGCAUGUAGUCAAUAUUAUAUAUGAGGCCAACAUUUUAUAAAGAAAUAUUUCUCCCAUGUUAUAUAUUCACGGUUGAAGAUCAAAUAUUUGUUAUUUUGAAUCUUAUGGGUGUGUGAUAUAUAUUUUAAAAUGCUCCUCCACACUGCAUGAAAAUAUCAUCCACAGAAGAUGAAAUAAUAUAGAUGUGGGAGAUGAAUCUCCGCUCUAAUAAUGUUAAAGCCAUCUUAUUAGAGAUGUGCUUAAUGCAAGAUUUUCAUAUCAUCAUGUUGGAUGAUAAAGAUCCCAUCACUGUGGGGAAAUCAUAGAAUAGUUUGGAUCUUUGAAUAAAUGAAUAUAAUGAAUAUGAACUUGAUUGUUCAAAAGUUCAAAAGACCACUAUUCAACAUGUUUACUACAAAUCAAAUGCAAAAAGAUGAUGGAUGAGAUUUCAUAUUGAUCCUCGCUUAAAUGAAUAUGAACUUGUAGUUCUAAGAAAUCUCACAUCCCAGCUAGAAAUGAUCCAAUAAAAUAUGUCUUUGACGGAUGACAUACUAAGUCUAUGACACACAAGAAACGUGAUAGACUACUUUGGUUCCUAAGAUAAAUAAAAUCCUCGAAAAGAAAAAGGAGCAAAUUAAAAAGAGGUUUAUACUCUCAAAAGAGGAGCAAAUGAACUCCUAAAGAGGAGUAAAUAGACUCUUAAAGAAGAGCUAAUAGACUCCCUGAGAGGAGCACAUAGACUCCUAAAAAGGAGCAAGAUACUUCUCAAGAGGAGUAGAGAAACUGAUUGAUAUGGUUAAUAAUGAAAUCACUUACCUGUAUAAAAUCAUUUAUAUAUUGAUUAAAGAGAUCUCGAUUAACCAUGUCAUUACGGGAAAUAUGGAACCAAAGACAUACAUGUCGACAAUAAAUUGUAUAGCGCAAUGUGAUUAAUGAGGAUCAUAAAUCUCUGCUUUGUGAGCGUAUCGAGAUAACAUAUUGGCCAAUAAAAGAGGUAGUCAAGUCUAUAUAAACUCGUAUACUAGACGAGUAAUUUUUGGACUAGUGGUCCAAGCAUCAAAAGGGUAUAAUGAUAUAUAACAAAAUGGUUUGUCGCGCCAUGUUUUGUUAAAGUACCCUAUAUCAAUCAAAAUUGAUGUUAUACUAUGACUUGAAAUACAUCUCAUGGGAUGCUUGAAGAGCUUAUCCUGAAAAACAUAUGAUAUCAUAAUUAUGUUCUCGAGAAUUCAUAACAGUGAUGAUUUUGAACAUCAUCAAAAACUCUUGAAGAGUUAUUUGGAAUAAAAGAUCUUGGAAAGACAAAAAUGUCUCCAGAAAUUCUAAACUAAACAUCUAUCGAAAUAGAUGUUAUACUAAUCACUUCUAAAGGAAGUCAAAUAUACAUAUAUAUAGUCAUGUAAGAUCAUAUAUAAAUGCUGACGAGCAUUUAUAUAUUUUAUGAAUUCUGCAUAGCAUUUUCCACUAAUCUUUUUGCAGCAUAUAACUUAUUCUAUAUGAGUAGAUUUUGAGUAUGAGUUAAAACAUAUCUUCUAUUGCAAAGAUAUGAUUGACUUGGGCUUAAUAUAUUUUGGAACCCCCAAGUUUGGUUUCGUUGGUUUGCAGAUGGAAGAUUUAUAUCGGAUCAGUACAAAGAUGUAUCGCAAAACAACGACUUCGAGACAUUUCAGUGAUAGAAUUUGGCUGUUGCUCGUUCAAGUCAUGCCAAAAUAAUUGUGCUUCAUAUGCCAUAUCGAGAAUCCCUAAUGGCUCAUAUGAUGCCCGAACGUCAACAAAUAGUUAUCUACCUAAGAUUGGAGCCUCGUAACAUGUUGGCGAAGAACUUCGAACUGAGGGUUCGAUCAGCAUCAACUAGUUAAUGCUUGUUGAGAUCCAUUAGCAAGAAGCAACCAAAAGGCAACAACACUGUUUGAAGACUCUGUUGCAUAUGUCACCCAAAUCAAAGAAAGCUAGCCAAGAGCAACAAAACAAGACAUAUUCUUCUCUUACACUAAAGAUUUUGAGAAGAAUAUGGAAGUUGAUAGCCAGUCCAUCAACUCAAGUAAUAAUGUAGCAGAGUUAUUUACAAAGGUGCUUCUGACUUCCUCAUUCAGAAUGCAUCUGCAGAGAUCAAAAUUCAUCUUUUGACGAUGAUACUUCCAGGGGAGAAUAUGUUGAUUCGCGUGGUUGCACUCUUUUUCAUUUAUCAUGGUUUUUUUCCCACUGGAUUUUUCCAUGACAAGGUUUUUAACGAGGCAGCAAAUAACACGCAAAAUAUCGAUCUCAAAGAAGAAUGCCAAUGGUGAAGGUCUAUCUCUCUUCAGAAGAAUGAAGAAAAUGAUCAAUAUGAAUCAUCUACGGAAGAUAUGAAGAAAAGUAGACACAUUUGUUCAAAGCAAAGAAUGAUCGAUAUGAGUCAUCUACGAAACCUAUGAAGAGAAAAAGACUCGUCUUUUUCAGGGGUAGAUUGUGUCACUAUACUCUUUUUCCCUUAUCAUAGUUUUUAUCUCACUGGAUUUUUCCAUGACAAAGUUUUUUAACGAGGCAGUACACAAUAAGUAAAUGGUGAUAGAUAAUAAGGGAGAAUGUUAUAAAACUGAUAAUAACACUUGUGAUUAUCCAUCACAUUACUUCUACUCUAAGUAACUUUAAUCUUAUCCAUUUACAUAUACACUUAUCCAUUAGUGAUACAUAUCUAUUAGUAGUAGUUAUCCCUUCAUCUUUUAUUUCCUCCUCAAAUAAUUACCAUGUAUAUAUAUGUGUUAGUUUUGUUCAUUGUAACAACAACACAACAAGAAGAGAGAAUAAUUCUUUCUCUUAACUC
Non-coding RNA from Camelina sativa (false flax), 5055 nucleotides. The record is from RefSeq and is a predicted model, not a curated record. NCBI's taxonomy places the organism in Eukaryota, Viridiplantae, Streptophyta, Magnoliopsida, Brassicales, Brassicaceae.